CAGAAAGCCAGUUAGAGCAAACUUAUCUGCUUUAUAGAGGGCAGGCUCAUUUCCCUCUGUGGCCAUCUCCUCCAUCGGAAAUCCUCUUCUGUGACAUUUGACAGACUGUGAGCCUUCCUACCUCCGCGCCUGCGAUGCCUGAUUCCAUCUGGAUUGGACUGCUGCAGACAUGCGGGGAGCCUCCUUAUCCUAAAGCACUUCCCGUUUGUUCGAGUGGGACCAAGAAGAAUACAUAAAGCUGCAAUUUCUCCUGGAGUGCCUUUGCCAUGGAGAUAAAAGAAGAGAAGAUUGUGACCAGUGAGGGAGACCUGUAGAAGACUUUCCUGCCCAUCUUGCCUGGCAUGCCUGUGAGAUGAACUUGUUCUGGCUGGAUUCUGUCUCUGCUCUGGACUCUAAUUCUGAAG
This 404-nucleotide long non-coding RNA is filed under the name Cavia porcellus (domestic guinea pig). RNAcentral describes it as "lncRNA (ENSCPOG00000032979.1)". The record is from RNAcentral. Lineage: Eukaryota; Metazoa; Chordata; Mammalia; Rodentia; Caviidae.